AUCGAAAAGGCUUACUAGUAUUUUUUUGCAUGAUGGUCUCGAGCAGUACGGGGCGAUAAUCCGAGGUGGUCUUUGUAAGAGAUCUCAACAUAUGAGAUGGGAAGGCUGCUACCCACUUCAUCGAGACUAAGCAUCUAUCCAACUUAACUAGGAUAGGAUUUUCUCUAUGAUUAGACCAGGUAAAUGAGAACUAAUUAAGCUUUAUAUCCAUAAGCUAUAGAUCAUCGAUAAGGUCAUUUAGUUCUGCAGACGGUAUGCUACUUUCUGCCAAGUCUUUUCUUUCAGAACAAAAAUGGGUUAGAUUGAAGUCUCCUAUGAUAACCCAC
RNAcentral lists this long non-coding RNA (326 nucleotides) under Elaeis guineensis (African oil palm). RNAcentral's name for it is "long non-coding RNA (EGUI_LNC029610)". The record is from RNAcentral. Lineage: Eukaryota; Viridiplantae; Streptophyta; Magnoliopsida; Arecales; Arecaceae.